Molecule: ribosomal RNA, 424 nt
Filed under: uncultured bacterium
Lineage: Bacteria
Description: bacterial SSU rRNA
Rfam family: Bacterial small subunit ribosomal RNA
Source: RNAcentral
UGGGGAAUAUUGGACAAUGGGCGAAAGCCUGAUCCAGCCAUGCCGCGUGAGUGAUGAAGGCCUUAGGGUUGUAAAGCUCUUUUGUCAGGGAAGAUAAUGACGGUACCUGAAGAAUAAGCACCGGCUAACUUCGUGCCAGCAGCCGCGGUAAUACGAAGGGUGCUAGCGUUGUUCGGAAUUACUGGGCGUAAAGCGCGCGUAGGCGGCCGUACUCGUCAGGGGUGAAAUCCCGGGGCUUAACCCCGGAACUGCCUUUGAAACUGUGCGGCUGGAGUGUGUGAGGGGAUAGCGGAAUUCCUAAUGUAGAGGUGAAAUUCGUAGAUAUUAGGAGGAACACCGGUGGCGAAGGCGGCUAUCUGGCACACAACUGACGCUGAGGUGCGAAAGCGUGGGGAUCAAACAGGAUUAGAUACCCCCGUAGUCC